AUUGAACGCUGGCGGCAGGCCUAACACAUGCAAGUCGAGCGAGCGGCGGACGGGUGAGUAAUGUAUGGGGACUGCCCGAUAGAGGGGGAUAACUACUGGAAACGGUAGCUAAUACCGCAUACUAGCGGAUAACCCAUAUGGGAGUAGCUAGUAGGGGAGGUAAUGGCUCACAUAGGCGACGAUCCCUAGCUGGUCUGAGAGGAUGGUCAGCCACACUUGUACUGAUACACUGCCCAGACGCCUACGGAGGCAGCAGUGGGGAAUAUUGCACCAUGGGCGCAAGCCUGAUGCUGCCAUGCCGCGUGUAUGAAGAAGGCCCUAGGUUUGUAAAGUACUUUCAGUCGGGAGGCGUUACCGACAGAAGAAGCACCGGCUAACUCCGUGCCAGCCGCCGCGGUAAUUC
This 403-nucleotide ribosomal RNA is filed under the name uncultured bacterium. Its description in RNAcentral is "partial 16S ribosomal RNA". It matches the Rfam family "Bacterial small subunit ribosomal RNA", at positions 30 to 526 of the family's 1533-position model. The record is from RNAcentral.